Harpia harpyja (harpy eagle) is the source of this 3357-nucleotide long non-coding RNA. RefSeq lists it as uncharacterized. The record is from RefSeq and is a predicted model, not a curated record. NCBI's taxonomy places the organism in Eukaryota, Metazoa, Chordata, Aves, Accipitriformes, Accipitridae. The transcript has 6 exons.
CAUCACUUAUCACAGACACAUGUGCUUCUUCAUUAGAUGACUUGUUCCAUGAAACAAAGAGAAAUACUCCAUUUCAUGGAUUAUAACGUCACUGGUAUAUAACCUCUCUUUCUAAUGCUUUCUGUGAAAUCUCCUAUUCAACAUUUUCCUCAUUCUAUUCUGAUUUUUCUAGCUCAGGAAGAACCUGUCCAAACAAAAGUCCAGUCUUGUCAAUGCAAAGUAGAUGGUCUCUCUGAAGUUGUGGCUGCUUGUAAGGAGGUGCAGACCCGGUAUUUCAGGACCUCAACACACCAGAAAUAUCCUUUAAUAAUGUUUUCAAGUUUAUAAAUAGCGAACACAAACCCUGCUCCACACUUCUACUUCAAUCCAGACAACAGGUUGGUGAGAGUGGCUGCAGUCUUCCCACUUCAGACAGUGCACAGGCUGGGGAGAACUUGCAGUGAAGGGAAUUGCCUGAACGUCCAUUUGAAGACAGAAGAUGUGAGAGGAGUCCUCUUUCUGGUUUUCUUACUCUUGUCUCUAUCCAGGUUGUGCCAGGAUUUUGUCCUUGAGACUUUUUGAUAUACAGAACUGGCUGACAUGAGAAUGGUCCCGUUCCAUGUGGUGAUCAUCCUGCACAUAAAGUCUUUCAGUGCAGAAUUUGUUCAAGCUUCCAACUUAUAUCGUGUAGAAAAAUGUCAGGUAAGUGAAGAGAUGAAAGUGAACACAUCUUGACUAAGGUGUUAAUUAGUUUGAAGAAAAAAUUACUAGUAGCAUGCCGACAGCAUGUGGGUGGUUUCAAUGAUAGCUGACAGCUUCUCUGGGAAUAUUCCCCUUUUUCCCUUCUAAAAGAUGGCCCCAAAUAUCCAUUUUUGGAAGGGUAUGGGUUUGUGAAUAUUGCAUCUGUGGUUUCUAGAGAAAUUAGUUUAAGGAAAUGUAGUAAUAUUAUAGUAUUUAAAUUCCUUGCUUGUUGUAAAAAAUCUUCGUAAUUGGUGCUAUUAUAUAAACAGGCCUGUGAGAUUAUUUGAGAACAUCUAUUUCUUUCAUUGAUCUCUUAGCAGAGGAAUAAAAUCUUGCAAACCAUCAGUCUCCACACCUUGAAAAUGCAGCUCUUCUACAUGAUUCUUGUACCCCACUCGUUAAUAAAAUAUCAGAGUGCCUUCUACUCAUAUUAAGUGACAAGAUUAACAUCUAUCAGCUGCAGUUCUUUCUCUUUUUCCCCUUGACGUUAAUGUUUCUUUAAAAUAGUUUAAUUGAGAUCAAUGGGAAUAGUUGCAGAAUGAGGUGCAAUUCAAUGUGAUGUGAGAAUUGGGGUUGAUAUAAUAGGGGAUAAGUGGGAUAAAAUGAGAACAAGUGACUUCUUUGCCCAUCUGUGCACUAGAGAGCAAAAAAGAUGGAUUCUGUAUUCCCCUCACUUCUCUCUCUUCUGCAGCCACUAAUCAAGCUGUGUAAAAGCAAACACAAUGGAAGCAAGUUGCAUCUGAUGGCAGUAAUGCAGUAUGGGAUCCUUACCCUGCAGCCUGGCUUCUGUUCAACACACCAUUUAGCCAUAGUGGGAGACCGGCAAGACCUGUGUUUUUCAUGUACUUAGAAAAAAAAAGAACAAAGACCCUGAUGUUAUAUUGUUUAGGUUUUCCAGUAUUCCUGGAGUGGAGGUCUGUGCUCCAUACAAGCACUGGCUGGGAUGGUAUUCAACCAUAUGCUUAGUCUUUUGUGCUGUGGAUAUAUUUUUCUAUGUUUACUUAUUCAUAGAUGAAAAGAGUGGAUCAAAACAGGCACAGAAUGUCGUGCAGCAUGGCAAGGAGUCUGAAGUAAGGCGCUACUACAGGCAGGCAGGGUGGAAUUUCAUCCUCGUCACUGAAGUUCAACACGAAGCACUACCCCGGUGUCAGAAAGGUAAGUGAAAGCUGCUUUCAUUUAGGUCUCAGGCAGAGAAGUCCGGAUGGGGCCAGGACCACGGCCCAGCGAGGGGCAGGAGGAGCAGCUCCACAGCCCAGCUGUACCCAGAGCAAAGCCUGCAGCCUGACCACCGGCGGGGGAACCUCGGCCAUGUUAGCAGGUCUACAGUACCGCCUACAAAAAGGAUGUCAGCUCUUGAUGUCUAAGACAACUGCUAAAAUAAUAUUUAAUACUGAGCUACAUAGAUAUAAAGACACUGGAAAUCAUUUUACGUGUAGAUCUUCAUCCUCCCUCUUGACAAGUGAAUAUGUAAUUUCCCUGGCUGAAUUCUCCCACACCAUGUGCACGGAAAUGCCUGUAUGUCCAGGGAUUUCUGUAGACAGCUAGGAAAAGCAAGUGUGAAAGACUGAUAAAAUUCAUUCCCUUCUUUCCAAUAACUUUCUCAAAUUCUUCUCAGCAAUCGUACACUUUUAAAAUUGCAAUUGUCACACUGUUUUCAAAUAAUACUAUUCAAAUGCUAAAACAUUCUGUCAACAAUUUUAUUUCCAUUUCUUUUCUCUUUGCUACAUUAUGCCCUGAAAAUGUAUCUCUGUCUUCGUGUCCCUUUUUCUAUUCUUCUUCAACUUUAAAUUAAUUCAAAAACAUAUCAGUAGAGAGGAGAAUCUUAAAAUAACAGGGCUUCACAUGUGUUGUAUAAUGUCCCACUUAUCUCUCAUCUGGUAUUCUUCACUGAGGCUUUAGCAUCUAGAUUGUAAAGAAAUCAAAGUGUCACCUGACUUCUACGACUGCUGAGCACCAGCCUCAGAGUAACAAUCUUUGAUUCUCCUUAAAUUCAAUUGCAUUUGGGUAGUUUAACUGAUACAACACUUGUACUUUGCUUGCGGCACCUGUUUUGAAUAGUGUCUCAUACAUUUUGAUAUAGUCAUCUAUACUAUUUUGAAACAAAAAUCUGAAGUGAAACACUUAAAACAUUUCAAUGUUACAGAGGCAUUUAGCUAUAGACCUGAGUAAUAAAGAGAAUAAAACAAAAAAUACAAAUUAAUCUUGCUCCUCUAAGCCCUGAUGAUCAGUUCCUUGCAUUUAGGCAAAUGAAACUCCUAUUGAACUUGGAGGUACAUGAUUGUUGGGUGGACGUGUCGUAAGUGAUAGAAGGCAUAAAAACCUAGGGAGGCAAGUGGGCCUACGGAAUGAUUCCUGCUCAGUCUUUCAACAGUUAAAAAUGGUAUUCUUUAACAGUCAUUUGAAGUAAUAAUAGCCCACCUGAGUGGGCUCUGUCAAAUUAAUAUGUUGUCUAAAUGUGAGCCAUUGUGUUUUACUCAUGAUCUGUGAAGAAUUAUAUCAUUGAGUGUGUAGAUCAGCUCUGUUGCCUAGAAGUCUGCUUGAAGUUCAAAACUCACCUUUUCUGAAAUGUUUUUAAUUCAAUAUAAUGUCUUAGUCCAUCUACUUGAAAUUUGAAUAAAUGAGCUUCUUAAACACCUA